GUAGGUGAACCUGCGGAAGGAUCAUUACCGAGUCAGGGUCUUUUAGGCCCGAAACUCCAACCCUGUGUCUAUCUACCACGUUGCUUUGGCGGGCCCGCCUUCACGGGCCGCUGGGGGCCUUUUGACCCCUGGCCCGCGCCCGUCAGUAGCCCCCAACAAACCCUUUGUAACAGUGAUGUCUGAGUUUAAAUAUAAUCGUUAAAAAACUUUCAACAACGGAUCUCUUGGUUCUG
Molecule: unclassified non-coding RNA, 233 nt
Filed under: rhizosphere metagenome
Description: partial ribosomal RNA internal transcribed spacer region
Source: RNAcentral